Molecule: transfer RNA, 90 nt
Filed under: Streptomyces parvus
Lineage: Bacteria; Bacillati; Actinomycetota; Actinomycetes; Kitasatosporales; Streptomycetaceae
Also listed under: 1 other name
Source: RNAcentral
GGACCUCGUAGCGGCCGGUAUGACCGCCCCUGACCGAUCCGGCUAGAGCUACGGAUCAGAAGGUUGCAGGUUCGAAUCCUGCCGAGUGCA